AUGGUAUUCAGAGAGUUUAAUGAGAUCCUGUUUUUCACAUGAGAAGGAGGGGGAGAAGCUCGGGAGCAGCGACAGAUGCAAGGAUUUAGAGAUGCCCUGGCUGAUUGUGACCUAGAUGAUCUGGGGGCCUCGGGGGAUAGUUUUACUUGGAGUAGAGGUCGGAUCAAUGAGCAACUGGAUAGAGCGGUGUGCAACUCAUGGUGGAAUAUCCUUUUCCCGCAUGUAGGAGUGCUGAAUGGGGAGAUGAAGAAAUCUGAUCAUCGACCCCUACUGGUGAAUACUGAAUGUUAUGCGGAGCAGAACAGACCGAGGGGAACCAGAAGAAGGUUUGAAGCAAGAUGGCUAAAGGAGGAAACAGUGGAGGAGGUGGUACGAACGGCGUGGCAACGGGCGGCGAUGCCAGGGAUUGGCCCCUUCAAGUCUAAAGUCGAUGCCGUACACACGAAGCUGCACCAGUGGGAUAGAGAAGUUUUGAAGAGACCGCAAAAGAGGAUGGCGGCCCUCAAGGCAGAGCUGGAAGACUUGAGAAGGGGUCCGGCUACAGAUGCAACCAUAGAUAGGCAGAAAUAG
RNAcentral lists this ribosomal RNA (570 nucleotides) under Triticum aestivum (bread wheat). Its description in RNAcentral is "partial small subunit ribosomal RNA". The record is from RNAcentral. Lineage: Eukaryota; Viridiplantae; Streptophyta; Magnoliopsida; Poales; Poaceae.